AAACAUCAAUGACUGGAAUAUGAACAAUUGGAUCACAAAUCAAAGGUGUGAAGGUUGGAAUUUGCUGUGAACUCGCCAACGGUAAUCGGACCAAUGGUUCCGGGAGGAAAGCUGGAAAAUCCAGUGAUGGUACAUCAGUAAGACCAAGAGGUAGAGUUGGUUUCAACGAGCUGGAAGAACCAUUUGUUGGCAACAUUGAUGAAAGCGGUGGAAGCUUAAAAGAUGAGAUGGAAGAGGCAGGGAGUUCGGAAGUAGCUGAGCAUUGUAGUGUCGAUGAUCCUGGGGGACACCAACAAUAGUAAGGAGAAAAUAGAGGAGGUCCUACGGAGGAAACCUGAGAAACACCACUUGGAGUUGGUGGAGCAGCAAGUUUUCCAAGUGAUUCAAGGAAGU
This 393-nucleotide long non-coding RNA is filed under the name Gossypium barbadense (sea-island cotton). Its description in RNAcentral is "long non-coding RNA (GBAR_LNC009758)". The record is from RNAcentral. Lineage: Eukaryota; Viridiplantae; Streptophyta; Magnoliopsida; Malvales; Malvaceae.